Paramuricea clavata is the source of this 496-nucleotide non-coding RNA. The record is from the annotation of a GenBank genome assembly. NCBI's taxonomy places the organism in Eukaryota, Metazoa, Cnidaria, Anthozoa, Malacalcyonacea, Plexauridae.
AAGCAAGGGGGGCAGCCGCCCCCCCUGCCCCCCCAGUUCCGGCGUCCCUGAGCUUCAUUAUGCGACCGAAAUUCGACGUACAAAACAGGUCUUAAGCCCUGGGCAAACUAGUAAAUAUUGUUGCGGAAACAUUGUUUCCUACCAAUGUUUCGCCAUGUUUCCCAGAGUGGGCAAACACUAGGAAACAUGAGUGAGAAACAUAGGGAAACAUCAAAUGUUUCUGAAUUUGCUAGGAAACAUUUUUGCUUCUCGGGAAGCAAAUUUUGUUUCCGCAACAAUGUUUCCACGGGUGGGCAAACAGGGAAACAUUUGAGGAAACAUCGAGAAUCACAAAUGUUUCCACAACAAUGUUUCCUAGUUUGCCCAGGGUUUUAGUUUUUUAGCAAUUUAAUGAAAAGUUAAUUACCAGAUCGUGGUGAUCUGUCUUGUUCAUACGUAACAUAAUGACUUAUACAGUCAGUCUAUUUGUUAAAAGCUUCCCUGAAUGUAAUUAACG